GGAUAAUUAAGCCUUGUCUGGUUUGGGAAGUCCCUGCAUUACAAAUGAUUCAAGCCUGAGAGAUUACUCAGGGACUCUAAGCAUAUCUUGUUUUCACACCCUUCCCAAGGUGCCUAUUGCUAUCCAUCAUCCUACAGAAGUGCGUUUUUUGUAACCUUUACCCUACUGCAGAGCUAUAUCCCAUAGACCAGACAUUUCCUUUUUUCAGUCUUUACCACUUCUACAUCAGCAGCAUUACUGGCAUCACCCUCUUCCAGCAACACAGCCUUGAAGUGCCACUGCAGAAGGCACCCACUGCCAAAUCAACACGAGCACCCAACCUCUAUCUUCCCAUAUAACAAGCAAAAACAUCUGAUUUUCUUUUCCUGAGUGAGGACAAUGAUCCAUAGCCUAUUUUGGGGAGAGCAGGAAGGGGAGACAUUUUGGAUAUAAAUAAACAUCUCUGUAAAUGCUCAGUUGCAAAGAAACCAAUAAGCCAGACUCGUCAGGAAACACAUUUCUCUGUUUGUGUUUCUGCAGACUUAAUAAAUCUUCUCUGUAGUACAAUGGGUAACAAACAGUUUGGAAGAAAAAGAUUUGAUUAUGUCUCUUCUUUUUCCAGGGGAAACCUGGCUUGCCAGGCCCUGUAGGACUGGAUGGUGUUCCUGGACUGCCUGGACCACGUGGAGAAAAGGGGAUGGCUGGAACUGGCAUUCCUGGCACUGCUGGCUCGAAGGGGGAAGAAGGAGAGCAGGUGGGUGGCCUUUCUGCAGUGACACCUCUGCUGAAGUCCCCUUAGAGGGCUCAGAGUCUCCUCCAGGACCUCCCCUCUAGCUUCUCCUUGGUGGGUACAACCCAUGGUUUUGAAGGAAAGGGACAAAGAAGGGAAGACUUGGGCUUUUAAAGCUUGAGUUUUCACUGUUUCAUUUUUUAUUUUUUAUUUUUUAUUUUUUUUUAGGGGGCGAUGGGCCCUCCAGGAGUACCAGGUCCAAAGGUGGGUACUGAAACGCUGAACCUGAGUCACUGUGCUUGAUACUCAGGUGCCAAGGUGCAUCCAGUGUUACCCAUCAUCACUGGAUGUAGGAACAUUGAUCCCUUCCUUGAAAGCAAGGAAAGGGAAUAAAUAAUUCUUUGCAUCAGCA
Molecule: long non-coding RNA, 1121 nt
Filed under: Anas platyrhynchos platyrhynchos (common mallard)
Lineage: Eukaryota; Metazoa; Chordata; Aves; Anseriformes; Anatidae
Description: lncRNA (ENSAPLG00000022773.1)
Source: RNAcentral